This 483-nucleotide ribosomal RNA is filed under the name uncultured bacterium. Its description in RNAcentral is "partial 16S ribosomal RNA". It matches the Rfam family "Bacterial small subunit ribosomal RNA", at positions 30 to 507 of the family's 1533-position model. The record is from RNAcentral.
UUGCACGCUGGCGGCAGGCCUAACACCUGCAAGUCGAGCGGAUGAAGGGAGCUUGCUCCUGGAUUCAGCGGCGGACGGGUGAGUAAUGCCUAGGAAUCUGCCUGGUAGUGGGGGAUAACGUCCGGAAACGGGCGCUAAUACCGCAUACGUCCUGAGGGAGAAAGUGGGGGAUCUUCGGACCUCACGCUAUCAGAUGAGCCUAGGUCGGAUUAGCUAGUUGGUGGGGUAAAGGCCUACCAAGGCGACGAUCCGUAACUGGUCUGAGAGGAUGAUCAGUCACACUGGAACUGAGACACGGUCCAGACUCCUACGGGAGGCAGCAGUGGGGAAUAUUGGACAAUGGGCGAAAGCCUGAUCCAGCCAUGCCGCGUGUGUGAAGAAGGUCUUCGGAUUGUAAAGCACUUUAAGUUGGGAGGAAGGGCAGUAAGCUAAUACCUUGCUGUUUUGACGUUACCAACAGAAUAAGCACCGGCUAACUUCGUG